GUGGACGAUCUCGGGCAAAAUGCACCCGUCGACCAAUCUUUUUAUUAAAUCUCUGUUGUUGAAGGGAUUCUCCCUCGGAUCCUCUUCGGAGCCGUUGGACCCUUCAAUGGCAGCCCUGCUGCUGCUGAUCUUGCGAGCCACCAUCUUCUUCCUUCUCUUCCUUUCGACCCCCGGUGCCUCCUCAGGAUGAGACUCUGAAGCGGGAACCUCGAUCGGAGGGCUUCUUGAAGAAGCUCGGGGGACUGUGGGCUCGACGUCGAAGGGGGCAUCAACGAUAAUGGCCGCCUAGGCAAGCACGGCCGAGCUUGUCUCCUCUACCC
This 320-nucleotide long non-coding RNA is filed under the name Elaeis guineensis (African oil palm). RNAcentral describes it as "long non-coding RNA (EGUI_LNC074772)". Lineage: Eukaryota; Viridiplantae; Streptophyta; Magnoliopsida; Arecales; Arecaceae. The record is from RNAcentral.